RNAcentral lists this ribosomal RNA (301 nucleotides) under uncultured bacterium. RNAcentral's name for it is "partial 16S ribosomal RNA". It matches the Rfam family "Bacterial small subunit ribosomal RNA", at positions 509 to 807 of the family's 1533-position model. The record is from RNAcentral.
CAGUCGCCGCGGGAAUACGGAGGGGGCUAGCGUUGUUCGGAAUUACUGGGCGUAAAGCGUACGUAGGCGGUUUUGUAAGUUAGAGGUGAAAGCCCGGAGCUCAACUCCGGAAUUGCCUUUAAGACCGCAUCACUUGAACGUCGGAGAGGUGAGUGGAAUUCCGAGUGUAGAGGUGAAAUUCGUAGAUAUUCGGAAGAACACCAGUGGCGAAGGCGGCUAACUGGACGACUGUUGACGCUGAGGUACGAAAGCGUGGGGAGCAAACAGGAUUAGAUACCCCGGUAGUCCCUGUCUCUUAUAC